UUAUGCAUUAGAAAGCUGAUAGUAAUAAAGAAGUGCAAUACUAAAUAAUAAAAUUACAUUUACAUCCAUUUAUGCUGAAAAAAGAUGAUAUCUGUGUUCAUUAUUAUAUGAAUUCAAUGGUUUUAAUUAUUCUUAUGUAAGCAGUAAAACAAGUACAUCUCUGACGUUUAUAACAAACCAAGCUGUUGUAAAAUCGGUUGAAAAUUGAGCAAUCUACAGUGAUUUUAAAAUCCAUGCUCCAUUGACUUUAAUGUUAUGAGUGAUCGAGCAGCCCUGUCCCAAGAUGGCCGCCAUGUGGCGACGUUGCUCCCCAUAGGCUGACAGCGCUCAUGAGCCAUCUAGUGUUUGUAUAUAUCUAUGGUCAGGCCAUUAUGAAAUAACCACCAAGAAAUAAAAUGCAAAUCAGUUUGCUUUCACUUGGUGGACUGAGCUGUCAAUCAAAUGGCUCUAGGCGGGGCUUCCUCGUCGUUCCUGAUCACAGGCAUAUGAAGAGUAGAUACGACACGCCCCUCUGAGCGGCGUCCCGACGGAGACGCUAAGCGAGUGGGGGCAAAGUUUCAGUGUUUUCCAUUGAUGUGUACGGCACGAAAAUUAAAACAAGAAGAAUGCCGGCUCAGUGUGCGGCAUACAGUUCCACACUCCAUCGGACGAUCAAGACAAGGAAACUUGGAAUAACUUUCCACAGGGUGGGGAAAAUGUUGCUGUGGCCCAUUACAUGGUGAGCCAGAGAGGAACAGGCCGACAUUCCCACAUCACUGGACGCAGUGUACAUAAUCAAAGAAUUAAAAGAUUAUGGCGAGAUGUGUAUGGAAAUGUCCUUGACUUGUUCCACACACUAUUUCUCAAUUUGGAAGUGGAAGGGUUUCUAAACCCUGAAAAUGAACUGGAGUUAUUCACUCUCCACUGGACCUACGUCCCACAGCUGCAGCAGCAUCUUCAGGCAUUCAAGGAAGCCUGGACUCACCAUAGUUUGAGGACAGAGAGAGGGCAAUCCCCCAUGCAACUGUGGCUUAGUCAGCCGCGUGAGGGAAAUGCUGCUGAUCCAGUUGAGGUUGCUGCUGAUUAUGGGAUAGACUGGACAGGACCUCACACCCCAUACCCAGAAGGCGUCACUGUACCUGAUGCACAACUACCCCGGCAGCUUACACAGGCUGAAGUUACAUCAUUGCCUGAUCCGGCCGUCCCUUUUUCUGCUGCACUACGGGCAUACAUGGAUACAGUGUAUAUUCUUAAGGACAUUUUUCAACAAACCUAGACAUAUCACAACUCACCUUAACAGAAUCAGAAUGAAACGAACAAGACUCAAAAGAAUGCUGCAAAUUUUUGGUGCAUAAUUUUAUGACCAGUUGUGAAUUUCAAAUAAAUGCCUUUGAAAACUACAAUGUACAAAGACACAGCAAAGGGAUAUAAAACUGCUUUUAUUGCAUGCUGAAUAGUUUGACAGCUUUUAAAAGCAUCAAAACAAUGUGCCAAUAAAAAGGUUUAAUAGAACUGACAA
This is a long non-coding RNA of Acanthochromis polyacanthus (spiny chromis), 1498 nucleotides long. RefSeq lists it as uncharacterized. The transcript is spliced from 4 exons. The record is from RefSeq and is a predicted model, not a curated record. NCBI's taxonomy places the organism in Eukaryota, Metazoa, Chordata, Actinopteri, Pomacentridae.